GAAAGAGAGAUGGAUAAGGGAUUUAGGGGACUGAAUGAGCCUUUGACAGCCUGGUAUAAUUUCCUGACCCUAUUAGGAUGGGCUGUUCAUUAGAGAUGAAAGUUACUUGGACGAUAAACAUCCAUAUGUAAGAGCUAAGCAGAUAGGUGUAGGUAAGAAAUAGAGAAGAAAGCAUGUUUAGAUAUAAGAGAAGUUUGGAUACUUUGUGCAGUGGCAGAAGUCAUUAUUGAAACUUAAGGAUGCCAAUUAUGACCCUUUGAAUUGUACGAAGGCCAGAGAGAGGCUUUAAUAAAAUUGGAGUCUGUGGAGGAAGAGAGGAAGGGUCUCCAAGUGAACUCCACUGGAGGGACUUUCUACAAGCUCCAAGUGGGAGCGGAGAGACAGGGGGACAAGGUUGCAGAGGCCCAGAUGGGCUUAAGGAAGCUGUGGGGACUUAGGAAGCAGCUCCUGGGGGGCGGGGAGGAGGCCAGAAAACAGGGAUGGUUCCAAUAGUUGCCCACAUGGUGUGGCCCUGUAGGGUGCAGCAGGUUAGAGGAGCCAGUGAGAGGACAUUUACCAAGUAGGUGAGGAGAGAUGGAUGGCUAGAGCAGGUGGAGGAAGAAGAAGCUGAAGGAUUUGGAACCAAAUAUGAUGGGUAGCAGAAGCCAGCAGAAACAAAUGGUCUGUACACAUCUUAAGAGUCAAAUCAGCAUCGUGAAUCAUUUUGAAAUGUUGAGACAUGGGCACUAGGGGCUGAAGGGAAACUGCCUCUGAGUUGAUAAGUUGGAGAUGCUGAACCAAGCGAGGAAUGAGAGGGAGAAGUGCGUCCCCAAAACUCCAUCAGGACCAAAGAAGUGGCCCAGUGUCCAGAAGGAAGGGGAUGAACCACCAUGAUACUGGGAUAACUACCUGAGGCUCCCUGUCAGAGAUAUGACAAGUCCGGAUUCUGCCAGGAUCAGAGAAACUUCCUAUCAGAAGUGGAUGGUUAAUACAGAGAUUCUUAAGCAUUCAAAGUGCUGAGGAUAAGUGGGUACUAUGUCUGGAUACCUAAAUAUGACACCCAUUACAUCAUCUCCAAGACCCAGAAAAUACUGGGAGGAGAGGGGCAAACGUUCCAAGAUCCAGAGGAGCAGUGUCAUCAAGACCUGCAUACAAAAAAGAGCAAAAAAGGAUGGUGGCUGGGUGUAGUGAGUCCCUUUAAUCCCAGAACUUGGCAGGCAGAGCCAGGCAGAUCUCUGUGAGUUCGAGGCCAGCCUGGUCUACAGAACGAAAUCCAUGACAGGCACCAAAAAUACACUGAGAAACCCUGUCUCAAAAUAAAUAAAUAAAUAAAUAAAUGAAAAAGAAAAAAAGCUUACAAGCUUCAGGUGCAUAAUUGAUGGUCUUUUUGUUUUCUUUUUUGGCAGGGUCUCUCUGCAGAGUUCUGGAUGUCCUGGAACUCACUAUGUACACCAGGCUGACCUCAAACUCACAGAGAACUGCCUCCAAAAUGCUGAGAGUAAAUGUGUGUACCAGCACAUCCAGCUG
Non-coding RNA from Peromyscus maniculatus bairdii (prairie deer mouse), 1506 nucleotides. The record is from RefSeq and is a predicted model, not a curated record. Lineage: Eukaryota; Metazoa; Chordata; Mammalia; Rodentia; Cricetidae.